UACGUAGGGGGCAAGCGUUAUCCGGAAUUACCGGGUGUAAAGGGAGCGUAGACGGUAAUGUAAGUCUGGAGUGAAAGGCGGGGGCCCAACCCCCGGACUGCUCUGGAAACUAUGUUACUAGAGUGCAGGAGAGGUAAGCGGAAUUCCUAGUGUAGCGGUGAAAUGCGUAGAUAUUAGGAGGAACACCAGUGGCGAAGGCGGCUUACUGGACUGUAACUGACGUUGAGGCUCGAAAGCGUGGGGAGCAAACAGG
Molecule: ribosomal RNA, 253 nt
Filed under: uncultured bacterium
Lineage: Bacteria
Description: partial 16S ribosomal RNA
Rfam family: Bacterial small subunit ribosomal RNA
Source: RNAcentral